GAUAGGCUAAUUAAGAGCGUAUGGGGAAUGCCUUGGCUCUCAGAGGCGAUGAAGGACGUGAUAAGCUGCGAAAAGCUACGGGGAUCGGCACAUACGAUUUGAUCCGUAGAUAUCCGAAUGGGGAAACCCUCUAUGUUGAAGACAUAGAACCUUUUUUAAGGAGUUAACCCGGGGAACUGAAACAUCUAAGUACCCGGAGGAAAAGAAAACAAUUGUGAUUCCGCUAGUAGCGGCGAGCGAACGCGGAAUAGCCCAAACCUAUA
Molecule: ribosomal RNA, 263 nt
Filed under: uncultured Flavobacteriaceae bacterium
Lineage: Bacteria; Pseudomonadati; Bacteroidota; Flavobacteriia; Flavobacteriales; Flavobacteriaceae
Description: partial 23S ribosomal RNA
Rfam family: Bacterial large subunit ribosomal RNA
Source: RNAcentral